Molecule: RNA transcript, 1722 nt
Organism: Chenopodium quinoa (quinoa)
Lineage: Eukaryota; Viridiplantae; Streptophyta; Magnoliopsida; Caryophyllales; Amaranthaceae
Gene name: protein-S-isoprenylcysteine O-methyltransferase A-like
Exons: 3
Source: RefSeq, a predicted model, not a curated record
UUUUUUUUUUGGUAGAAACUGUAACAUAUGGGCCUUUUCCUUGCCAUUACAAUAUGGGCCUUUAUAUGGACCGUUGGCUCUUUUCUUUAUAUGGGCCUAUUGUCCUAAAUCCUAAUGAAAAAAAAGGAAAAAAAAUAAAUAAAACCAAACAUUAUUUUAGCCGGUUUUCAGUGAGUCAAAUCGACUCGGCUGCACUCGGGAAUCUGACUCAGUGGCUCUCCUCCGAUUCAUCUUCUGCUAUCACACUCUUCAGGUAUGAGGCGGGGAUGAAAUGCAGACUCGACUCUUUGUCUUGGUAUCAUAUCUCUACCAGUGUGUCCCAGAUCUGAGAUAAUCAACAAUGCUAAUGCAUUGACGUGGUUGAAUAAGUAGGUCUGAAUCUUCUGACAAGGGUCCUGAUUGGCUUAUAUUACUUCACUAUCUUCUCGUCAAGAAAUGACUGAACUCUUCAGCAGUACUGCUUGCAGACAAUUAUCUCAAUUUAUAGUGGCUAUAGGUUUUUUUCAUGUUUCGGAGUAUUUUUUAGCUGUUUACAUUCAUGGGAGAUCAAAUGUGACUCUGAAAUCUCUUUUGAUAAGCAAAAAUUACAUUGUGGCAAUGAUAUGCUCGUUGCUUGAGUACUGGCUUGAGAUCACCUUCCUUCCUGGACUGAAAGAAUAUUGGUGGAUAAGCAACUCAGGCCUUGGCAUGGUUGUCUUUGGGGAAAUAAUACGAAAAGUGGCAAUGGUAACAGCUGGUCAUGCCUUUACGCAUCUGAUUAAAGUCCACCAUGAGGAGCAACACAGACUAGUAACUCACGGAAUUUAUGGAUUUGUGAGGCAUCCAGGUUAUUGCGGCUUUUUCAUCUGGUCAGUUGGCACUCAGAUUAUGCUGUUAAAUCCCAUUUGUACCCUAGCAUUUGCAGUGGUAGUUUGGAAGUUCUUUGCUGGACGCAUACCCUAUGAAGAGUUUUUCUUGAGACAGUUCUUUGAUGAUGAGUAUGAAGAAUAUGCUCAAAGUGUCCCGUCCGGAGUACCAUUUGUGAAGUGAAAACUUUCCUUGUCUAUCAUGCAUGUCUUCAUCAGUCAGCAACAAGAUUUGCUUAGAAUCAGGAAAUCUCGGAGCAAAUGAUGAUAAGAUUGUAUUACCAUGAAGAUGAUAGCCUUAGAAUCCCCAAUAAUUCACCUGUAGAUAGGAGGAGGGGGAGGAUUUGGUAGUACAAAAUUGCGUACUGGAGCUUUCUGAGGUGGUGGUGGUGCGCUGACUGGUGGUCUUCGCCGUCUGCCAAGAAUCUUAAGUCCCCUUGUUGGUCGUCUAGGGAGGAUCUCUGAAAUUGGUUGAUGGACUAACCCAUUUGGUAGGGAGAGUAUUAGUCGGCCGUUUGCUGUCUCAAGGUACUGGGACUUUGUAGUCAAGACCAUACAGGGUAGCAUGGCUACUAACAGCAGACUUACCAUGUAAUUGAACCCCAUUUAAAUUCAACUCUAAAAAAACUUAUGAUAUGAAGAAAGGACUUAUGAUUAAUAACAGAGUUUGUUGAAAAUUUCGUAGCAGGUAAUGUGAGGCUAUUAUAAUACGGAAUAUGGAAGUUUAAUCAGAAUUUAAGGACAUUCUACCCAUUGUUUUAGUCUUCCACGUUACAAAGUACAAAUAUAUUCUCCGUAUAAUAUUAUCUUCUAGCAUUUUUUUAUUGCCUAGACACGCACAUCAAUGCAAUUUUAUUACCAAAUUGCCAUGAGAUAA